This is a long non-coding RNA of Paramormyrops kingsleyae, 710 nucleotides long. RefSeq lists it as uncharacterized. NCBI's taxonomy places the organism in Eukaryota, Metazoa, Chordata, Actinopteri, Osteoglossiformes, Mormyridae. The record is from RefSeq and is a predicted model, not a curated record.
GGGAGUCGGGGGAGGUGUGGUGAGAUGUCCGGGAGUCCUUGGCAUGUAUCACAAGACCGGGGCAUCGACCGACUUAUUUAGUGUAUUUGAAAGGGAAAUUUUUCUGUGAAGUGACCUUACAGCCCCAGCUCACCCGCAGCCUUCCACGUUCAGCUUUUUGCACACAUCGUGGAGCAGGACUGCUGCCUUGGCGUGCAUUGGUUCACACAAUGGCAGGCUGUGAAGUCGUCACACGUAGGCUGGCUCUGCUCGAAACUGCUGGAUCUCCUUUAGCGUAGCGGCAGCGUGGAAACACCUGGGGGGUGGGGGUGUUGAAUGAGGAUGAUGAUGGAAAGCCUUCCCUGAAGAGCAUAGCUGUAACUUUCUGUCCAGGUCCUGCUGAGAGGCUCUGUAGCUAUUUCACUUUGCAAUUUUGAAUUUUGUUUGUUUAUUUUGUUUUACAUGCAUAUGUAUCCCUUUUUCCUCUGAACUUUUAUUUGUUUUAAACAAUAUGACUAGAAACUAUAGCGAAUAGAGUAAUUUACUUUGCAUGUCCUCAAGCAAUGUGGCCCACAGGGUGAUAUUUUGUUAAAUAUAAAUUGGAAAAACACUGGUGUAACUGAGUUUAAUUUAAAAAGAGAAAAGUUUGCCUCAGGUUGAGUUUUACGUGGUCGCACCUUAAAGGCUAUAAGUAUUGCUAAUUAGUCAAAUAAAAUAUUAAUAAACCUCAA